CGAAUGCUGACAUAAGUAACGAUAAAGCGGGUGAAAAGCCCGCUCGCCGGAAGACCAAGGGUUCCUGUCCAACGUUAAUCGGGGCAGGGUGAGUCGACCCCUAAGGCGAGGCCGAAAGGCGUAGUCGAUGGGAAACAGGUUAAUAUUCCUGUACUUGGUGUUACUGCGAAGGGGGGACGGAGAAGGCUAUGUUGGCCGGGCGACGGUUGUCCCGGUUUAAGCGUGUAGGCUGGUUUUCCAGGCAAAUCCGGAAAAUCAAGGCUGAGGCGUGAUGACGAGGCACUACGGUGCUGAAGCAACAAAUGCCCUGCUUCCAGGAAAAGCCUCUAAGCAUCAGGUAACAUCAAAUCGUACCCCAAACCGACACAGGUGGUCAGGUAGAGAAUACCAAGGCGCUUGAGAGAACUCGGGUGAAGGAACUAGGCAAAAUGGUGCCGUAACUUCGGGAGAAGGCACGCUGAUAUGUAGGUGAAGUCCCUCGCGGAUGGAGCUGAAAUCAGUCGAAGAUACCAGCUGGCUGCAACUGUUUAUUAAAAACACAGCACUGUGCAAACACGAAAGUGGACGUAUACGGUGUGACGCCUGCCCGGUGCCGGAAGGUUAAUUGAUGGGGUCAGCGCAAGCGAAGCUCUUGAUCGAAGCCCCGGUAAACGGCGGCCGUAACUAUAACGGUCCUAAGGUAGCGAAAUUCCUUGUCGGGUAAGUUCCGACCUGCACGAAUGGCGUAAUGAUGGCCAGGCUGUCUCCACCCGAGACUCAGUGAAAUUGAACUCGCUGUGAAGAUGCAGUGUACCCGCGGCAAGACGGAAAGACCCCGUGAACCUUUACUAUAGCUUGACACUGAACAUUGAGCCUUGAUGUGUAGGAUAGGUGGGAGGCUUUGAAGUGUGGACGCCAGUCUGCAUGGAGCCGACCUUGAAAUACCACCCUUUAAUGUUUGAUGUUCUAACGUGGACCCGUGAUCCGGGUUGCGGACAGUGUCUGGUGGGUAGUUUGACUGGGGCGGUCUCCUCCUAAAGAGUAACGGAGGAGCACGAAGGUUGGCUAAUCCUGGUCGGACAUCAGGAGGUUAGUGCAAUGGCAUAAGCCAGCUUGACUGCGAGCGUGACGGCGCGAGCAGGUGCGAAAGCAGGUCAUAGUGAUCCGGUGGUUCUGAAUGGAAGGGCCAUCGCUCAACGGAUAAAAGGUACUCCGGGGAUAACAGGCUGAUACCGCCCAAGAGUUCAUAUCGACGGCGGUGUUUGGCACCUCGAUGUCGGCUCAUCACAUCCUGGGGCUGAAGUAGGUCCCAAGGGUAUGGCUGUUCGCCAUUUAAAGUGGUACGCGAGCUGGGUUUAGAACGUCGUGAGACAGUUCGGUCCCUAUCUGCCGUGGGCGCUGGAGAACUGAGGGGGGCUGCUCCUAGUACGAGAGGACCGGAGUGGACGCAUCACUGGUGUUCGGGUUGUCAUGCCAAUGGCACUGCCCGGUAGCUAAAUGCGGAAGAGAUAAGUGCUGAAAGCAUCUAAGCACGAAACUUGCCCCGAGAUGAGUUCUCCCUGACCCUUUAAGGGUCCUGAAGGAACGUUGAAGACGACGACGUUGAUAGGCCGGGUG
RNAcentral lists this ribosomal RNA (1596 nucleotides) under Escherichia coli. Its description in RNAcentral is "partial 23S ribosomal RNA". It matches the Rfam family "Bacterial large subunit ribosomal RNA", at positions 1291 to 2867 of the family's 2925-position model. The record is from RNAcentral. Lineage: Bacteria; Pseudomonadati; Pseudomonadota; Gammaproteobacteria; Enterobacterales; Enterobacteriaceae.